RNAcentral lists this ribosomal RNA (484 nucleotides) under uncultured bacterium. RNAcentral's name for it is "partial 16S ribosomal RNA". It matches the Rfam family "Bacterial small subunit ribosomal RNA", at positions 30 to 507 of the family's 1533-position model. The record is from RNAcentral.
AUUGAACGCUGGCGGAAUGCUUUACACAUGCAAGUCGAAUGGCAGCACGGGGGCAACCCUGGUGGCGAGUGGCGAACGGGUGAGUAAUACAUCGGAACGUGCCCGGUCGUGGGGGAUAACGUAGCGAAAGUUACGCUAAUACCGCAUACGAUCUGAGGAUGAAAGCGGGGGACCUUCGGGCCUCGCGCGAUCGGAGCGGCCGAUGUCAGAUUAGGUAGUUGGUGGGGUAAAGGCCUACCAAGCCGACGAUCUGUAGCUGGUCUGAGAGGACGACCAGCCACACUGGGACUGAGACACGGCCCAGACUCCUACGGGAGGCAGCAGUGGGGAAUUUUGGACAAUGGGCGCAAGCCUGAUCCAGCCAUUCCGCGUGCAGGACGAAGGCCUUCGGGUUGUAAACUGCUUUUGUAUGGAACGAAAAGGCUCUGGCUAAUACCUGGGGCUCAUGACGGUACCGUAAGAAUAAGCACCGGCUAACUACGUG